This 799-nucleotide ribosomal RNA is filed under the name uncultured bacterium. Its description in RNAcentral is "bacterial SSU rRNA". It matches the Rfam family "Bacterial small subunit ribosomal RNA", at positions 8 to 817 of the family's 1533-position model. The record is from RNAcentral.
AGAGUUUGAUCCUGGCUCAGGAUGAACGCUAGCGGCAGGCCUAAUACAUGCAAGUCGAACGGUGUCUUCGGACAUAGUGGCGCACGGGUGCGUAACACGUAUGCAACCUACCUUACAUUGGGGGAUAGCCUUUCGAAAGGGAGAUUAAUACCGCAUAAGACAGUAACUUGGCAUCAAGUAGCUGUUAAAGAUUUAUCGAUGUAAGCUGGGCAUGCGUCCAAUUAGCUAGUUGGUGAGGUAAUGGCUCACCAAGGCUAUGAUUGGUAGGGGAACUGAGAGGUCAAUCCCCCACACUGGCACUGAGAUACGGGCCAGACUCCUACGGGAGGCAGCAGUAGGGAAUAUUGGGCAAUGGACGCAAGUCUGACCCAGCCAUGCCGCGUGCAGGAUGAAGGCGUUAUGCGUUGUAAACUGCUUUUAUACAGGAAGAAACGACUCUUGCGAGAGGCAUUGACGGUACUGUAUGAAUAAGCACCGGCUAACUCCGUGCCAGCAGCCGCGGUAAUACGGAGGGUGCAAGCGUUGUCCGGAUUUAUUGGGUUUAAAGGGUGCGCAGGUGGUUUAUUAAGUCAGUGGUGAAAGACGGUCGCUCAACGAUUGCAGUGCCAUUGAAACUGGUAGACUUGAGUAAAGUAGAGGUGGGCGGAAUUGAUAGUGUAGCGGUGAAAUGCAUAGAUAUUAUCAAGAACUCCAAUUGCGUANGCAGCUCACUUGGCUUUUACUGACACUCAUGCACGAAAGUGUGGGUAUCAAACAGGAUUAGAUACCCUGGUAGUCCACACUGUAAACGAUGAUAACU